RNAcentral lists this ribosomal RNA (466 nucleotides) under uncultured bacterium. Its description in RNAcentral is "partial 16S ribosomal RNA". It matches the Rfam family "Bacterial small subunit ribosomal RNA", at positions 28 to 507 of the family's 1533-position model. The record is from RNAcentral.
GAUGAACGCUGGCGGCGUGCUUAACACAUGCAAGUCGAACGGAAAGGCUCCUGCUUGCAGGGGUACUCGAGUGGCGAACGGGUGAGUAACACGUGGGUGAUCUGCCCUGCACUUCGGGAUAAGCCUUGGAAACUGGGUCUAAUACCGGAUAGGACGAUGGUUUGGAUGCCAUUGUGGAAAGUUUUUCGGUGUGGGUUGAGCUCGCGGCCUAUCAGCUUGUUGGUGGGGUAAUGGCCUACCAAGGCGUCGACGGGUAGCCGGCCUGAGAGGGUGUACGGCCACAUUGGGACUGAGAUACGGCCCAGACUCCUACGGGAGGCAGCAGUGGGGAAGAUUGAACAAUGGGCGCAAGCCUGAUGCAGCGACGCCGCGGGGGGGAUGACGGCCUUCGGGUUGUAAACUCCGUUCGCUAGGGACGAAGCGUUUUGUGACGGUACCUGGAGAAGAAGCACCGGCUAACUACGUG